CCCCUAGAUGUUCUGGGCCGCACGCGCGCUACACUGAACAGUUCAACAAGUCUUAACCUUGGCCGAUAGGUCUGGGUAAUCUUUGAACGCUGUUCGUGAUUGGGAUAGACCUUUGCAAUUAUGGGUCUUCAACGAGGAAUUCCUAGUAAACGCAAGUCAUCAGCUUGCAUUGAUUACGUCCCUGCCCCUUGUACACACCGCCCGUCGCACCUACCGAUUGAAUGGUCCGGUGAAAUCUCGGGACGGCGGCUUGGUCGCUUGCGUCCGACUGCUGAAACUUGAUUAAACCAUAUCAUUUAGAGGAAGGUGAAGUCGUANCA
Molecule: ribosomal RNA, 320 nt
Filed under: uncultured eukaryote
Lineage: Eukaryota
Description: partial 18S ribosomal RNA
Rfam family: Eukaryotic small subunit ribosomal RNA
Source: RNAcentral